This 916-nucleotide long non-coding RNA is filed under the name Vulpes vulpes (red fox). RNAcentral describes it as "lncRNA (ENSVVUG00000004487.1)". The record is from RNAcentral. Lineage: Eukaryota; Metazoa; Chordata; Mammalia; Carnivora; Canidae.
GCAGGUUUUCACUUAACAUAUUAAUUCCAGAGAAAUAAGAAAAAAGCUAUGUGAGAUUUCAUUAAAACUUGGCUUUAUUCCUAGUUUCAGGGGCUUGUGAAUGACCUGCAAGAUCACCUCCUUCAACCUCUGCCUCUAAAUCUUGUGGAGUCUAUAUAAUUUUAAAAAGAGCAUUUCUGCUAUUCUUAAAUUCCACAAUUUACCUUGGUAACCUAAAUCUCUGUAAGUCCACAGUGUCUACACUAAAACAUAUCUUUCCAUCCAAUUUAAACUUCUUCCAUUCUCAUGUGGUAAUUCCAAUCUAGAACUUUGUGUCCUGUCUCCAUUGGAGAUGAAGCUCAGAUGGCCAGCCACCCCUGUGCCAAGAAUCCAGGCUUUCUGAAUGCAAAAGUCAGAAAGGGUGCAGCGAUGUUUUCAGGAGACUUCUAAGACAAAAAUCUUUGAGGUUUCACGUCACAGAAGAUGCAUCUUAACUUCUAUUUUACUCAGAGGUGAUAUAAAAGAAUGUGAGUAAGGUUUUAGGUUGAGUCAUAUAUUGUAGGAGGCUUUCUAUUUUUUUUCCUAAGCUAACAACAAGAUUACUCACGAUUCACAUCAGAAACACAACACAUGAUUAUUGGAAAAGGAAUUCAUCAGGCUGUUCACAAUCUUUAGUUAUUUACAUCAGACUUCAUUUCAAUUCGGUUACAUGAAAUCCCCAUCCUAAAGUUCCAGGUGCUCUCAGAUGUAUAAUACCAGUUGCAAUGUGGUUGAUAGGAAGAUUGUGCCUUCAAAAAUUUUAAAUGUGCUAGAGAUGGGUAUCCCUGGUGGCUCAGUGGUUUAGUGACGCCUUUGCCCCAGGGCGUGAUCCUGGAGACCUGGGAUCAAGUCCUGCAUCGGGCUCCCUACAUUCAGCCUGCUUCUCUCUCUGCCUGUG